Molecule: small nuclear RNA, 162 nt
Filed under: Castor canadensis (American beaver)
Lineage: Eukaryota; Metazoa; Chordata; Mammalia; Rodentia; Castoridae
Description: U1 spliceosomal RNA (ENSCCNG00000000469.1)
Rfam family: U1 spliceosomal RNA
About the family: U1 is a small nuclear RNA (snRNA) component of the spliceosome (involved in pre-mRNA splicing). Its 5' end forms complementary base pairs with the 5' splice junction, thus defining the 5' donor site of an intron.
Source: RNAcentral
AUACUUACCUGGCAGGGGAGAUACCAUGAUCACGAAGGUGGUUUUCCCAGGGCGAGGCUUAUCUAUUGCACUCUGGAUGUGCUGACCCCUGUUAUUUCCCCAAAUGUGGGAAACUCGACUGCAUAAUUUGUGGUAGUGGGGGACUGCAUUUGCGCUCUCCUC